AACGGAUGGUCCACCGUGAUAGAAGUAUCAGAAGGCAUUGUAGUUGGUGAGGAAGAAUGACCUGGAAGUAACAAAUAUUUUGGGACAUGGUAGACACUUUAACUUCUCUUGUUUUCUCAUUUCCAAUAAUAUAAGAGCAGUGUGACUUGUCUUGCCGUUUUAUUUCAACUAAUAAUAGCCACUUCGCUUUGGCGGUGGAAUUAAAGCAAGAGAUCUGUCAGGACUAGCAUUAAGUAAGGCUGAAUUGGUUUCUAAACUUCAAGCUUUUGAGCAAGCGAAACAAGUACUCGAAGAAAAGUUCAAUGGCGUGGUGCAAGAAGUGUCCGAAAUUAAGUGUCUUCUGUCUGGUUGAUCUCUAAGUGAUAGUUCUUGUGAAAACUAGUGAUCAAGACUGAUGGUUCUACAUGCUAUAUAGAAGCAUCAAGGUUCUUUGUAAUUGCCGAUGAGGAAUGAUAUCCAUUCAAAUAACGAUGAUGUCCCUCGAUUGAAGAUUAAUAAUUAUUAUCUUUUCUAGUUUCCUGUUUUCCAGUUAGAUAUGAGCAAGUACAUUGUUCAUAUAAGGAGUGCUUUUGACUCAAUUUCUUAAAUGAUAUUGUAAUUUCAGAAUUGUAUGUCGGCAUUUUGGUAUUUCUAUUAAUAAACGACGCUAUC
Molecule: ribosomal RNA, 651 nt
Filed under: Triticum aestivum (bread wheat)
Lineage: Eukaryota; Viridiplantae; Streptophyta; Magnoliopsida; Poales; Poaceae
Description: partial small subunit ribosomal RNA
Source: RNAcentral